AUUGAAACACCAGUUUCCACGUGAUCAUUGAAGUUAAGCAACGUUAAGCCUAGUCAGUACCUAUAUGAGUGACCACUUGGGAAUACCAAGUGCUGUAAG
Acanthosepion pharaonis is the source of this 99-nucleotide non-coding RNA. The record is from the annotation of a GenBank genome assembly. NCBI's taxonomy places the organism in Eukaryota, Metazoa, Mollusca, Cephalopoda, Sepiida, Sepiidae.